RNAcentral lists this ribosomal RNA (464 nucleotides) under uncultured bacterium. RNAcentral describes it as "partial 16S ribosomal RNA". It matches the Rfam family "Bacterial small subunit ribosomal RNA", at positions 355 to 836 of the family's 1533-position model. The record is from RNAcentral.
UGGGGAAUAUUGGACAAUGGGGGCAACCCUGAUCCAGCAAUGCCGCGUGUGUGAAGAAGGUCUUCGGAUUGUAAAGCACUUUCGACGGGGACGAUGAUGACGGUACCCGUAGAAGAAGCCCCGGCUAACUUCGUGCCAGCAGCCGCGGUAAUACGAAGGGGGCUAGCGUUGCUCGGAAUGACUGGGCGUAAAGGGCGUGUAGGCGGUUUACACAGUCAGAUGUGAAAUCCCCGGGCUUAACCUGGGAGCUGCAUUUGAUACGUGUAGACUAGAGUGUGAGAGAGGGUUGUGGAAUUCCCAGUGUAGAGGUGAAAUUCGUAGAUAUUGGGAAGAACACCGGUGGCGAAGGCGGCAACCUGGCUCAUUACUGACGCUGAGGCGCGAAAGCGUGGGGAGCAAACAGGAUUAGAUACCCUGGUAGUCCACGCUGUAAACGAUGUGUGCUAGAUGUUGGGUAACUUUGU